UGGGGAAUAUUGGACAAUGGGCGAAAGCCUGAUCCAGCCAUGCCGCGUGUGUGAAGAAGGUCUUCGGAUUGUAAAGCACUUUAAGUUGGGAGGAAGGGCAGUAAGCGAAUACCUUGCUGUUUUGACGUUACCGACAGAAUAAGCACCGGCUAACUCUGUGCCAGCAGCCGCGGUAAUACAGAGGGUGCAAGCGUUAAUCGGAAUUACUGGGCGUAAAGCGCGCGUAGGUGGUUCGUUAAGUUGAAUGUGAAAGCCCCGGGCUCAACCUGGGAACUGCAUCCAAAACUGGCGAGCUAGAGUAGGGCAGAGGGUGGUGGAAUUUCCUGUGUAGCGGAGAAAUGCGUAGAUAUAGGAAGGAACACCAGUGGCGAAGGCGACCACCUGGGCUCAUACUGACACUGAGGUGCGAAAGCGUGGGGAGCAGACAGG
RNAcentral lists this ribosomal RNA (429 nucleotides) under Pseudomonadota bacterium. RNAcentral's name for it is "Proteobacteria bacterium partial 16S ribosomal RNA". It matches the Rfam family "Bacterial small subunit ribosomal RNA", at positions 355 to 776 of the family's 1533-position model. The record is from RNAcentral. Lineage: Bacteria; Pseudomonadati; Pseudomonadota.